Molecule: long non-coding RNA, 570 nt
Filed under: Populus trichocarpa (black cottonwood)
Lineage: Eukaryota; Viridiplantae; Streptophyta; Magnoliopsida; Malpighiales; Salicaceae
Description: long non-coding RNA (PTRI_LNC000796)
Source: RNAcentral
CCCUGCAAUUGAGCAGGCAUUAUCCAUCAGUAUCGAUGAUAUUCAAAAAUCAAAGAGCAGUACGAGCUAAAACACAAUCAUGAAAACAUACAACAUAGGCUCAGCUAGGUCAGGCUCGUGUCGACGCCUCACUUCAUCAAUUAACCUCCGAUCCUGCAUAUCGCUACUCCAUUGUCUGUCAAAUACUGAGAAGGCAGCACAAGUAAACUCCAGAAUCAGAACUUGCUCCAAAAGGCAGAGUGGCUGAACAUUAUGAAUUCCAACACAGGUUUGAAUGAUGCGGCAAUCCGUGAACGCCCUCCAAUAUUACAGUCGCAGGAAAAGCAUUAGAAUCAGAACUUGCUCCAAAAGGCAGAGUGGCUGAACAUGAUAAAUUCCAACAUGGGUUUGGGUAGCAGAUCAUGAUGCGGCAAUCCUUGAAUGCCCUCCAAUAUUACAGUCGCAGGAAAAGGCAUCAGCUAAGAGAGCUUACAGGAGCAAUAGGUCUUCCAAAAUACAUUUUGGAUGACUAGAUUUGGUCAAAACACUAUACAAGCUGUAAUAAUACCGUAGUUACAAUAGAUAAUCACG